AAGAUUUAAAGAUAAGCAAACUCUUGUAUACACCCAGGGAGUUACCAUCCAAAUCAAGAUGUAGAGCAUUCCCAUCUUCUUCAAAAAACAUUUCUCUAACAGACCUGCAG
Fukomys damarensis (Damara mole-rat) is the source of this 110-nucleotide long non-coding RNA. RefSeq lists it as uncharacterized. Lineage: Eukaryota; Metazoa; Chordata; Mammalia; Rodentia; Bathyergidae. The record is from RefSeq and is a predicted model, not a curated record. The transcript has 3 exons.